RNAcentral lists this ribosomal RNA (553 nucleotides) under Halomonas sp. 126. RNAcentral's name for it is "bacterial SSU rRNA". It matches the Rfam family "Bacterial small subunit ribosomal RNA", at positions 10 to 555 of the family's 1533-position model. The record is from RNAcentral. Lineage: Bacteria; Pseudomonadati; Pseudomonadota; Gammaproteobacteria; Oceanospirillales; Halomonadaceae.
AGUUUGAUCAUGGUUCAGAUUGAACGCUGGCGGCAGGCCUAACACAUGCAAGUCGAGCGGAAACGAUGGAAGCUUGCUUCCAGGCGUCGAGCGGCGGACGGGUGAGUAAUGCAUAGGAACCUGCCCGGUAGUGGGGAUAACCUGGGGAAACCCAGGCUAAUACCGCAUACGUCCUACGGGAGAAAGCAGGGGAUCUUCGGACCUUGCGCUAUCGGAUGAGCCUAUGUCGGAUUAGCUGGUUGGUGAGGUAACGGCUCACCAAGGCGACGAUCCGUAGCUGGUCUGAGAGGAUGAUCAGCCACAUCGGGACUGAGACACGGCCCGAACUCCUACGGGAGGCAGCAGUGGGGAAUAUUGGACAAUGGGCGAAAGCCUGAUCCAGCCAUGCCGCGUGUGUGAAGAAGGCUUUCGGGUUGUAAAGCACUUUCAGUGGGGAAGAAAUCCUCGGGGCCAAUACCCUCGAGGGAGGACAUCACCCACAGAAGAAGCACCGGCUAACUCCGUGCCAGCAGCCGCGGUAAUACGGAGGGUGCGAGCGUUAAUCGGAAUUACU